This 30-nucleotide non-coding RNA is filed under the name Rattus norvegicus (Norway rat). The record is from RNAcentral. Lineage: Eukaryota; Metazoa; Chordata; Mammalia; Rodentia; Muridae.
UGCCACUUGUUGAGGUUGUCUAGUGACCCA